UUGGAGGGCAAGUCUGGUGCCAGCAGCCGCGGUAAUUCCAGCUCCAAUAGCGUAUAUUAAAGUUGUUGCAGUUAAAAAGCUCGUAGUUGAAUUUCGGGAUUGACACAUCGGUCGUGCCUUAAGGGGUAUGAACUGGUGUAGUCAAUUUCUCACCUUCUGGAGAGCCGCGAUGCCCUUAAUUGGGUGUCACGGGGAACCAGGACCUUUACUUUGAAAAAAUUAGAGUGUUUAAAGCAGGCAUUUUGCUUGGAUACAUUAGCAUGGAAUAAUAAAAUAGGACGGCAUGAUUCUAUUUUGUUGGUUUCUAAGAUCACCGUAAUGAUUAAUAGGGAUAGUUGGGGGCAUUAGUAUUCAAUUGUCAGAGGUGAAAUUCUUGGAUUUAUUGAAGACUAACUACUGCGAAAGCAUUUGCCAAGGAUGUUUUCAUUAAUCAAGAACGAAAGUUAGGGGAUCGAAGACGAUCAGAUACCGUCGUAGUCUUAACCAUAAACUAUGCCGACUAGGAAUCAGACGAUGUUAAUUUUUUAAUGACUCGUUUGGCGCCUUACGGGAAAC
RNAcentral lists this ribosomal RNA (555 nucleotides) under uncultured Glomus. RNAcentral's name for it is "SSU rRNA". It matches the Rfam family "Eukaryotic small subunit ribosomal RNA", at positions 548 to 1098 of the family's 1831-position model. Lineage: Eukaryota; Fungi; Glomeromycota; Glomeromycetes; Glomerales; Glomeraceae. The record is from RNAcentral.